This 425-nucleotide ribosomal RNA is filed under the name uncultured cyanobacterium. RNAcentral describes it as "bacterial SSU rRNA". It matches the Rfam family "Bacterial small subunit ribosomal RNA", at positions 356 to 795 of the family's 1533-position model. The record is from RNAcentral. Lineage: Bacteria; Bacillati; Cyanobacteriota.
GGGGAAUUUUCCGCAAUGGGCGAAAGCCUGACGGAGCAAUACCGCGUGAGGGAGGAAGGCUCUUGGGUCGUAAACCUCUUUUCUCAGGGAAGAACACAAUGACGGUACCUGAGGAAUAAGCAUCGGCUAACUCCGUGCCAGCAGCCGCGGUAAUACGGAGGAUGCAAGCGUUAUCCGGAAUGAUUGGGCGUAAAGCGUCCGCAGGUGGCAAUGUAAGUCUGCUGUUAAAGAGUGAGGCUCAACCUCAUAAGAGCAGUGGAAACUACAUAGCUAGAGUACGUUCGGGGCAGAGGGAAUUCCUGGUGUAGCGGUGAAAUGCGUAGAGAUCAGGAAGAACACCGGUGGCGAAGGCGCUCUGCUAGGCCGUAACUGACACUGAGGUACGAAAGCUAGGGGAGCGAAUGGGAUUAGAUACCCCAGUAGUC